CUGUAUAUUCUCUAAAAUUUAUUUACAGUUAAUAAAUUAAAAAGUACAACCAGAUUGCAAAUCUUAAUCAUAUGCGCACAUCAAACUGUCCAAGAAAACAAUUCAGUUCCAUUACAAACAAUUGCCUUCUAAUGCACUUAAGACAUAACAGUCUACCAAAAUUAUUUUAAACACACCAACAAAGUAAAUAUUAUGUAUAUAUGUGCAUUAAAAAACACCAAUUUAAAGAGUGCUGUGGCAAUCCUUUAAAUAACGAAAAACUUCGGAGUUCAAAAUUGCUCGGGUUUUUUUUCAUAUUCAAAUAUUUUCCAUGUGUUUUUACGGAACAGUUUCCAGAAAAAUAGUACUAUUGUUUGCACACAGCAAAUCAGUAUGUGUCGGCCACCAGUUUAACUUACACCUGUCCAAUCAGGUACUCAAACUUGGACAAAAUAAAUACACACCACAACAGUGACACUUUGCACUAACAACAAUGAAGCUUGCCCUCAACCAUCGUAACGUUACUGGAUUCGGUAAAGAAAAAGAAGCUGCUGGUUGACAAGGAGGAGGAUAAUAAGGACAUUAGGAAUUGAAAAGGUUAUCUGAGGUGCCGGUCACCACAUUUAGGCACUCAAGACUAAAUAAAAGCAUAGCAAGGUGAUAAACUUCUUCCUCCUACUUUCCCCCUUUACUUGUGCCAUAUGAGAUAUAAAGGUAAGAGAAUGAAUAAAGAUUAUGGGAUUUCUUUCAAAAAAAAAAAAAAACUAUAUACAAGCUAAGCUACGGACUCACUUUAGAAGACAGUAACUGAAUGCCUCACCAUAAAGGCCACCGUGCCAAGUUCCUUUUCACAUUCUCCCCAAGCGUAUCCAUAAAAUACUUCCAUUCUCCUAUUAAUAUACUAAUCAACUAUAUUAGUUGUUUCUUCACAUUUUAUAAGUCGUAAAACAACUAACUUUAGCAAGGUUUUGCUAAAGACAACUUGGCAAAAAUAAAGAUUUUUUUACAUCUUAUUUCACAAACUAGAAAUGGCAUGAUUUUUUAACAGGCCAGAUAAAUAACAUAUUGAAUUUAGGAUGGGCAAUCAGAUCCAAACCGAAACCAGAUAGCCCAGAUAAUCCAAAGUAUUUAUGCAAGUUAAAGCGCACUAAAGUAAUGAGGAAGGCAUAAGAGGAAAAAAAAUAAGAUUCUCAGUUAAAAUAAAUGCAUGGUGUCAAUGGUUACGUUUCAAUUUUGUGCUGAGCAAAGUUAUCCUCCCAGCUACACCUAAUUUCAAAAUCAUCUGGGAACCUCUCUAGAUAGGCUAUAUGUUGAAAUUACAUUCUAAUAUGGCCAUUGGGUUUAUUUUUUUUACUUAUUAUAAAAUUAUAUACAAUAGUGAAGUGGUACAAAUACAUAUUCUUUUUCUCGGGUGCUAAUCAGCUAAAAAAGUUAACAAUUUGGGAAGAGGGGAGGAAAACCCUAUGCAUUUAAGUACAGUUGGCAAUGGAAGCUAAUAACCAAAAGAAUACAUAUAAGCUUCCUAUCACACAAAUAUAAUUUAACACUCUCCAUCUUCUAAGUAAUUAUUCACUUUUAUUUACUCAUGUGACAGUAUUUGUAACAACACAUUAUCAUUGAGUAGUGAAUAAAAGAAUAUGAGGCUUACUGGGAAACUGGCAUAAAGUCAUAUAUAUAUAUGUAUAUAUAUAUAUAGAUCUUUUUUUUUUUUUUACAAAACAAGAACACUGAAAUUAAAGUCACAAAACUGCUACUGUUAACUAUUAAACUUGAAAAAUUCAUUUCAGAAAGCUAUGCCAUUUGAAUUCUAAAAACACAAGAGUCAAAAUCGCAACUCUCAUUAUUCCCCUAAGAAGCUGCCAAGCAGAAAGAAACCUUGACAUUGAAGAUUUCAUAGGUCAUGUUCCAGACUGGUAUGGAUGGUUCCAUAGCAGAAUACUUAAAUUUGCAAUAACAGUGGUGCAAAGUCACUACUUGACCCUUUAGAUAUUGCAGUAAAAUCUGGCUGUGGCACCACUGGCUAAAAACCAUCAGUCUUGCUGCCACCAAUGACCAAAGGCACUUGGAUUAUCCAGAAUUCCACACUGGGCCAUAUGGUAUAAACACUAUUACAAAAGUGUAAAAGAAGGGUCAGUAUUCUGUGUGGCUCGCCUGUUCGAUUCCUGUGGUUUUCGGCUGUCAAACAAAAGACCAAUAACUGCAAACAUAAUUACGAAUGGAAAAGAAAAAAAAAAGUAAUAAAGGAAAAUUCAUGGCGUACAACGGUCAACGAAUUAUGAUGUUUUUAAGAGUGAUGGAUAGUAAUCUGGACAUUUCUUGUUAUCCAACAACAAAAGCAAGGAAGUUAAAUCUUAUUUUGCCCAAAGUCAACUUCGACCAGUUAUUUGAUACCAAGAAAUGCCUCACCCCUCUGGAUGGAUCAUGAAUACUUGAGAAUUCCAAUGGGUAUUCUGUGUAGCAUUUUAAUCGCAGCGUUUACACCUACUCAUUUUUCCUAUGCGAAUUCCAUUUUAAAAUAAAUUAUCCUUGAAAUGGUCCCAGGUCGGUAUGUGAGACGAGUACAAGGAGGCCAAAUCAUUUGCAGUCGGAUUCCAUCCAUCUCUUUAACCAACACCAGUUCUUUAGAAUCAUUCAUUCAUUCUUUUUUGUUUGUUUGUUUUCAAUCACAAGCCAUGUGGUUUCAGUGCACUUUAAAUUUUAUUCGAUUAAAAAGGAUUUAACAGGUCAACUUUUCCUAAACAAAACUUCACGAGUUUCUACCACUUUCCUUUAGGAGCUCAGUAAAUAUAAACAUUAAGUCUCAAUAUAAAAAAUCUUUUAGAAACACAUCAAAAAAAAAUGUUUUAACAGUCAUACUUUGCAUCUCUUUGUUUGUAGUCACUGAGCCCACGAAAUUCGAAGCCAUACAAAUCCUUACACUACUGACAGUCGUAGCUUGAAUUCCCUAGAAAAAUAUCCUUGGUCAAAGCUUUGGAAUCCAGUUGAAACGCGGAAACGAGUGGGAUUCAGAAUACCCUGAGCACAGACUGGUGCAACACCUCUGAAAACAUAGUCGAUCUUUCCUCCAGAAAGAGGGGUUGGCAGUCCCGACAAGAAAAAAAGAGGAAAAAAGAAAAAAAAAAAAAAAAGGUUGGGGUGGGAAGAGGUGGGGGGGGCGGGAAGGCCGAUGGAUGGACAGCCAAGUAAAUUCUAGCUUUAUUACACAAGCGCGAAACCAAAUUCCUUUGGGGAAAAAAAAAAAAAAAAAAAA
RNAcentral lists this long non-coding RNA (3229 nucleotides) under Canis lupus familiaris (dog). RNAcentral describes it as "lncRNA (ENSCAFG00845026828.1)". Lineage: Eukaryota; Metazoa; Chordata; Mammalia; Carnivora; Canidae. The record is from RNAcentral.